AGAGUUUGAUUAUGGCUCAGAACGAACGCUGGCGGCGCGUUUUAAGCAUGCAAGUCGAGCGGCAAGGGUCUUCGGGCCCCUAGAGCGGCGGACGGGUGAGUAACACGUGGACAAUCUGCCCCCCGGCCGGGGAUAGCCCAGGGAAACCUGGAUUAAUACCGGAUGAGACGGGACCCGCGGAGGCGGGAUCCGGGAAAGGCGCUGCGGCGCCGCCGGGGGAUGAGUCUGCGUCCCAUUAGCUUGACGGCGGGGUAACGGCCCACCGUGGCGACGAUGGGUAGCCGGCCUGAGAGGGUGGACGGCCACAUUGGAACUGAGACACGGUCCAGACUCCUACGGGAGGCAGCAGCUAAGAAUCUUCCGCAAUGGGCGAAAGCCUGACGGAGCGACGCCGCGUGAACGAAGAAGGCCGUGAGGUUGUAAAGUUCUUUUCGGGAGGGGGAACAACCGUGGCAGGGAAUGGCCGCGGGAUGACGUGAAUCCCGGAAUAAGCCCCGGCUAACUACGUGCCAGCAGCCGCGGUAACACGUAGGGGGCGAGCGUUGUUCGGAAUCAUUGGGCGUAAAGGGCGUGCAGGCGGUCCUGCAAGUCCGGCGUGAAAGACCCCGGCCCAACCGGGGGGGCGCUCUGGAAACUGCAGGGCUUGAGUACAGGAGGGGAUGCCGGAAUUCCAGGUGUAGGGGUGAAAUCUGUAGAUAUCUGGAGGAACACCAAUGGCGAAGGCAGGCAUCUGGCCAUGUACUGACGCUGAGACGCGAAAGUGCGGGGAGCAAACAGGAUUAGAUACCCUGGUAGUC
This 797-nucleotide ribosomal RNA is filed under the name uncultured Sphaerochaeta sp. Its description in RNAcentral is "bacterial SSU rRNA". It matches the Rfam family "Bacterial small subunit ribosomal RNA", at positions 8 to 795 of the family's 1533-position model. Lineage: Bacteria; Pseudomonadati; Spirochaetota; Spirochaetia; Spirochaetales; Sphaerochaetaceae. The record is from RNAcentral.